CAGAAUUUCAUUCACUAGAAUAGGACUUCAAGCUGUUCAAUACGGAAGACUAGCAGUAUCAAUUUCCUAGCAUUUAAGGCUAAGGAAUGAUGUUAAAAUGAUGAAAAGUAAUUGAAAGAGCAGAUGUAUAGGAACUAUUUCCUCCUGUGAGGAGUGGAAAACAAAAUGACUCAGUCCUUCUUGUCACAAACAAAUGAGGAAAAUUGUGGAGUUCCUUUUCCCAAACUGCUGUGCGUAUUGAGGCAACAUCCAGAGGGAGGGUGUUCUGAUACCAGGUUCUGUCUGCCAUAGGCUCAGAAGGGAAGGAAAUCUGCUGUCCUUUUCCAAGUCUGGUUGAUGUGACUCCAGUCUCCACAAUGUGGUUGUCUCUCCACAGACUCGGCAGCUCUGCAGUCAUUAACGAUAACAAUAAGCACUCAAAUUGUAAAUGUACGCAUCCAAUGAGCAAUAAGUAAAAUGUAUCAUAAAACCUAACUUGCAACCUUUGAACUUACGCGUUGGCGUGAGUCAUAUAAAAUAUUUUUCACCUUUGUUUCAACCCUUUAACUGAAUUCCUAAAUACACAUGCUGUUAAUUGCUAAUUUGCCUCGUAGGAGAUGCAGACUUUAUGAAAUUAUAAUUGAUUAAUAGGCUUAAAUGCUA
Hypanus sabinus (Atlantic stingray) is the source of this 642-nucleotide long non-coding RNA. RefSeq lists it as uncharacterized. Lineage: Eukaryota; Metazoa; Chordata; Chondrichthyes; Myliobatiformes; Dasyatidae. The transcript has 3 exons. The record is from RefSeq and is a predicted model, not a curated record.